UCCGUUCUUACGUGAUGUGAUUGCAAAGAAUGACUUCUGCAUUUUUAUAUAUAUAGAUAGUCAACCAUCUCCAAAUAAUCGCACUUAUACUUAUCUCAAUUUCUCUUCUAAUUCGAUGCAUUUGAAACCAUUUACCAUCUCUAUUCACUACGUUGGCUUUAAUGGAUCACAUAAACAUUAGGAUCUUUGAUUGUAGGUCGACAAAACAAUAAGAUAGAGAAAUUGUCCUGUGUGAAUCAAUAUUAAAAUUUUUAAUAUGUUUAUAAUUGAUUACGCCGAAUCGCGCCGCCUCCGCCGCCGAUGUUUUCAGGAAAUAGCGUCACGCCGAUUCGCCGCCGCCGCUAGCCAAAAAGACGUUUCAGCCGCCGAUGUUGACAAUUUUGAUCGGCGCACAGCUCUAUAUAACAAUAGAAAAACUCGACAAUGAUUUCCAGUGUACGUUGGUUGAAUUGUGGUUAUUAGCAUUGAAGAGACUCCUGUCCAAUGAAUUGAAUCAGCAGGUGAAUGGAUGUAUCUCAGUUUUGUUAUCCACUCACUAGACAAGCUACCUGUUUCGUUGGCAGGCAGCCACCAACUAAUGUUGAAAUUGUAAAAUGGCAUAUGUAGGCAUAUACUGUUUCUUGCAUGACGUAAACUCUCCUUAUACCUAUCGAAGCAGAAUUGAGACUAAAUGAAAUUUGAGCAACGAUCGAAACCGUCGGCCGUGCGAGAGAAAUCAAUUCGAUGACAUCUUGAUGACAUGCUGUGAUUGGCUCGUGAAUAAGGUCGAUUCCAACCAAUUUAUCAAUAGUAUACUGGAACGAUGUUGUCAUAUAUGUAUAAGUUAAAUGUUUCCGAAUCGAUUGUUGUUAAUUAAUUGAUUACAUCAAUACAUCAACAAAAGACUGGGUUAUUAUCGUUCGAAAUCAUGACAGAAAAGGUUUCGCGGCUAUUUUUGAAACUUUUAAUUGACACCGUGCUCCGUAUAGUGAAGAGUAAGGCAUUCCUAACGCCAAUAGAAGUCAACACCAUUUUAGGUACAGUGACACAUUGCGGAAUAUCAAUCAACGAGACUUAUUUCACGAAUUUGACUACCGAUGUUCAAAUGGAGGUCGAGCGAAUCGAUCUAUUUAUUCGUUCGAAUUACACUGGAAUCCGUCGGUGGAGAAUGUUACAAGCCGAAGUUUGAGAUUCCGAAUGUUUACUGGGUACAUCCGAUCGAGUCUAGCUACGAGCGAGUUGGUCAUACGCUGCUUUGCUUUACGAUACAGGCUUCAGUACGCCCGUUAACUCACACAUAGAGCGAAAGUUUCACUUCAAGUUUCUAUCCGUAGUUCAAGGAAGGUGUUGGUGUGAAUAGUCAACUACGCAACGGAAACGGAAUCACCCAGAAUGAUGCACUUCUUACCUGUACAGCAGUCCGUGGUGUAAUGAUGAUAUAAGUUGUUCUAUGAUUUAUUGGACCUUGAGCAGUUGUCUCACCACAAUGGUCAUGGCUUGCUAUGCAUUGAUUAUUAUAUACUAGUUUGUACCCACACAUCCACCCUCUUCUAUAAAAAAAAAAUCAGCUUAAUCUAUCUGACAUAUACCGUAUUGACAUGCUUGACAUCACUAGAGCAUAUUUAGGAGAGUGUUUAGUUCUAGAUGCAUAAUUUGUGAAUUGAAAAUUAAAUCUUGAGAUUAUAAUAUAACAGAAAAAAAGAGAACUGUUCGUACAAAUAAAAUUUCCUUACCAGAGAUACGUUUAU
Long non-coding RNA from Malaya genurostris, 1727 nucleotides. RefSeq lists it as uncharacterized. Lineage: Eukaryota; Metazoa; Arthropoda; Insecta; Diptera; Culicidae. The record is from RefSeq and is a predicted model, not a curated record. The transcript is spliced from 3 exons.